GAUCCUGGCUCAGGAUGAACGCUGGCGGCGUGCUUAACACAUGCAAGUCGAACGAAGCAAUUUGAUCGGAUCUCUUCGGAGUGACGAACUUAUUGACUGAGUGGCGGACGGGUGAGUAACGCGUGGGUAACCUGCCUUGCACAGGGGGAUAACAGUUAGAAAUGACUGCUAAUACCGCAUAACCCGCUAGUACCGCAUGGUACGGACGGAAAAGAUUUAUCGGUGUAAGAUGGACCCGCGUCUGAUUAGCUAGUUGGUGAGGUAACGGCUCACCAAGGCAACGAUCAGUAGCCGGCUUGAGAGAGUGAUCGGCCACAUUGGGACUGAGACACGGCCCAAACUCCUACGGGAGGCAGCAGUGGGGAAUAUUGCACAAUGGGGGAAACCCUGAUGCAGCGACGCCGCGUGAGUGAAGAAGUAUUUCGGUAUGUAAAGCUCUAUCAGCAGGGAAGAAAAUGACGGUACCUGACUAAGAAGCCCCGGCUAACUACGUGCC
RNAcentral lists this ribosomal RNA (496 nucleotides) under uncultured bacterium. RNAcentral describes it as "bacterial SSU rRNA". It matches the Rfam family "Bacterial small subunit ribosomal RNA", at positions 15 to 509 of the family's 1533-position model. The record is from RNAcentral.